UUUUUUUUGCCUGACAGACGAUUAAACAGCGCACGGCACCUCCUCUGUAUAUAUAGAAUAUUUAAAAGAGAGAGCAUGCAUCUAUGCGACGUGGUGUACACGAACUAGAAAUCUGGCUAGCUUUUGUACGUGCAUAUCUAGCCCUCUUUUCGUGAUUAUUUCUCUUAGAUCGAAGUAUAAAAUUUCAAUCUAUUUGCACCACUGUAUUCUUCAUGAUGAACUCUACAAAUAGAGUCUAAUAUUAAUUAUAUUUUUUCUUUCAUAAAUUUCUAGCAAUACGUGCGACCCAUACGUCGUAGAGUAGCUAAUUGUUAAAUCAAUGCAUGUGUCAACACGGGUGACACGCAACUGCGGAAACACCGAAAUCACCAGUUGGUGGUGGCUCGUCGUGCGUGCAGCAGCUGCAGCACCUGCCGCCAGCGGGCGUGGCGGCAGCAACAUGUGGCCCGAGCUGCCGCCUCAAGCAGUGGCAGCAGGGCCCACCUCCUGUCUCCCGUUCCGUUCCAGCUCCCACUCAACCGAAAAUCUGUUACACGGCGUCUGCCGCCUGCCGCCGUGGCUGCAGGGCUGGCCGCCUCCGCACAUGGCGGCAGGUGCCACGUGUCGGCUGGCGCGCCUGCCGCCACGGUCGAGGGGGUCUUUUUGGUCAAUUUUAUCUAGAGGGGGUCUUUUCUGGCAAUAUCGUUGGGCAGGUGGUCUUUUUCGACGAAAAAUCUUCCCGGUGCGGCUUGCCGGCGAGAGGCGGGGGAGAUUAUGCGGCAGCUAGGGUUUCGCCGUGGUCGCCCGCGGGGUGGGGCUACACGAGCGACCGAGAAAAGAGACCAGGUUUUCGUAUUUUGUAAAAUAAUCUUUUGAUUUUCAAUCGGAUGGCUAAGAUAGAAGGGUAUGUUACUAUUGUUCAACAGUAACAUGCCUAUGACACGACACUGGAUCGAGCAUGCAACAUGAGCACACAUAUAUUGAUACUCCCUCCGGGUUUCCGUCUUUUGAAAAAUAACCUUUUGAUUUUCAAUCAGAUGGCUAAGAGAGAAGGGUAUGUUACGUACUAUUGUUCAACAGUGACAUGCCUAUGACACGACACUGGAUCGAGCAUGCAACAUGAGCACACAUAUUGAUACUCCUUCCGUUCUAAAUAUUUGUCUUUCUAAAGAUCUGAACAAAUUCUAAAGAUUUGAACAAAUGACUACAUCCGGUGCAAAUGAGUGAUUCUACACUCUAAAAUAUGUCUAUAUAAAUUCGUGUGUGAUAGUUUAUUUGAAAUUUUUAAAAAGACAAACAUUUAGGAAGGUAGUAGACUAAUGCAUACAACACGAGAACAGCGCACAUAGCCAUCGCUAGCACAUAACACAAUGCAUGCAUCUCGCAGGUCUUGCUCAGCUGACGAACUAGAUAGAUGGGGUGUGUUGUGCUUGUGCUCGUGUUCGGUGUGAGAGCGGCCAAGGGCACGGGUGGGGUUAUAAAGACGGAGGUGCACGCUGCGAACGAAGGAUUUUGGAUCGGAAUCAGCCGAAGAUCCAGUGACUCCAUUUACACGGUUAAUAGCCUGCAACGCACAGCCAGUCUGCUGGUUGACGUGACAAUACGACAUUGGCUGCACAUAGCCACGAGCUGCCUAGUUGUGACUCCGUUUACCCGGUGAAUAGCCUGCAUCACACAGCUGCCUAGGUGUGACUCCGAUUACCCGGUAAAUAGCCUGCAUGACACAGCCAGCUGGUUGACGUGACAAUACAACGUGGCGGCACGUAUCCGCGAUGUGCCUAGUUGAUUUGAUGGUACGGUACCAGCUUUAGUAGAUGCACUCUAGAGUGUUCAAACGACCAAAACACCUCUGCCCUAGGGUUCCUGCAGACUGCCGUAAUGGCUAUUGGUGAGAUAGUAUUCUCUUGCAUUAUUCUAGUAGCAAGCGCAGCUCAACGAUAAAAGGAUAAAACCCAAAAAUAGUUAGUGCGUGUUGAUAGGCGAUCAUCUUCUAUUCGGGAUCUUUAUUUGAAGCAGAACAGAGAUCAGAUAAUUUCUGAGGUGUUGAGUGGAUCAGGCAGCCAGUACAUGAAUAAGAAGACAAGGAAAGCAACACCAUGGAGUUAAGAUACAUGCAUGCACACUUACACAUAGCGGUUACUACUUUACAUUACAGAGAGUAGCUUCAGACUGUUGACACGCUAGUAACAUGGUCGAACAUACACGCACCGCCCAGGUACAGAAGAUGAUAUUGAACUUGGUUGACACUAGCUUAGCUUGGGCAAUACAUACGUGCCCAGGUGCAAAAGGUACAGUCCCUACUCCUGAACUUCAUUGACACUAGCUUAGCUUGGGCAAUACAUACGUGCCCAGGUACCAAAGAUCAGUCCCUACCCCUAACUCCAUACUAACUACCUAGCGUACUGCCACUAACUUGGCAUCAACCUAGUGUGCAUUUCUUCUCUAGGCAGCAAAGGCGGCCGCAGCCGCCGCAGCGCCUGCGUUGUGGAGGAGCUGGAAGUACAUCUGCGGGUUGGCCGCAAAUGCGGCGCGGGAGAUGAGGAAGCCGGCCGCGCCGGGCGCCUUCAUCAUCCCACCGGCAACGACAGCCGCCGGCCAGAAGAAAUAGGCGCCCACAGCGCCCAGGCCGACGAUCACCGCAGCCGCGACGACGUUGAACACCAUCUCUGAAGUCUGAACCGACGUUCUCUACCUGAAUCUGUGUUAGAUCUUUUUCCCUGUAUGUUCUAUGCAGAGGCGAGAUUGCUAGAUGAAGCGGACGUAAGAGCUAGCAGCGAGAAGGGUGACUUAUAUAGGGCUGGACGCUGGAGUGCCCGCGAGCGCUCGCCGCUUCCAGCCGCAUCGAGCGAUCUGUUCACCGGGGACGCGUGGACAAUGGCCGGAGACAAGGGUCGAUGGAGGGGAGACGCGUGCCGGCCAGGCGGCCACGUAGCCGGGUAGUACAUUUUUCGGCCGGUAAUCCUGGCAAUCGAUUGUUGGGUAUAGCAUUCCCCUUUUUUUCAAAUUAG
Molecule: long non-coding RNA, 2987 nt
Filed under: Triticum aestivum (bread wheat)
Lineage: Eukaryota; Viridiplantae; Streptophyta; Magnoliopsida; Poales; Poaceae
Description: long non-coding RNA (TAES_LNC022133)
Source: RNAcentral